UUUCCGUAGGUGAACCUGCGGAAGGAUCAUAGUGAAUUGAAUAUGUUAGCGGACCUCUUCGGAGUCUCUAGCAUCAAAUCAUAUCCAUAACACCUGUGAACUGUAAGGCUGUCUUGAAAACGAAAGUGAUUAGAGCGCCUGCCCAUUUUAUACAAACAUUAAAGUAACAAACGUAGUCUUAUUAUAAUCUAAUAAAACUUUCAACAACGGAUCUCUUGGCUCUC
RNAcentral lists this unclassified non-coding RNA (224 nucleotides) under plant metagenome. RNAcentral describes it as "partial contains small subunit ribosomal RNA, internal transcribed spacer 1, and 5.8S ribosomal RNA". The record is from RNAcentral.